RNAcentral lists this ribosomal RNA (253 nucleotides) under uncultured bacterium. RNAcentral's name for it is "partial 16S ribosomal RNA". It matches the Rfam family "Bacterial small subunit ribosomal RNA", at positions 524 to 776 of the family's 1533-position model. The record is from RNAcentral.
UACGAAGGGGGCUAGCGUUGCUCGGAAUUACUGGGCGUAAAGCGCACGUAGGCGGAUUGUUAAGUCGGGGGUGAAAUCCUGGAGCUCAACUCCAGAACUGCCUUCGAUACUGGCGAUCUAGAGUCCGGGAGAGGUGAGUGGAACUGCGAGUGUAGAGGUGAAAUUCGUAGAUAUUAGGAAGAACACCGGUGGCGAAGGCGGCAUCCUGGACCGGUAUUGACGCUGAGGCGCGAAAGCCAGGGGAGCAAACGGG